Molecule: ribosomal RNA, 2919 nt
Filed under: Escherichia albertii
Lineage: Bacteria; Pseudomonadati; Pseudomonadota; Gammaproteobacteria; Enterobacterales; Enterobacteriaceae
Description: partial 23S ribosomal RNA
Rfam family: Bacterial large subunit ribosomal RNA
Source: RNAcentral
GGGUUGUGAGGUUAAGCGACUAAGCGUACACGGUGGAUGCCCUGGCAGUCAGAGGCGAUGAAGGACGUGCUAAUCUGCGAUAAGCGUCGGUAAGGUGAUAUGAACCGUUAUAACCGGCGAUUUCCGAAUGGGGAAACCCAGUGUGUUUCGACACACUAUCAUUAACUGAAUCCAUAGGUUAAUGAGGCGAACCGGGGGAACUGAAACAUCUAAGUACCCCGAGGAAAAGAAAUCAACCGAGAUUCCCCCAGUAGCGGCGAGCGAACGGGGAGCAGCCCAGAGUCUGAAUCAGUGUGUGUGUUAGUGGAAGUGUCUGGAAAGGCGCGCGAUACAGGGUGACAGCCCCGUACACAAAAAUGCACAUGCUGUGAGCUCGAUGAGUAGGGCGGGACACGUGGUAUCCUGUCUGAAUAUGGGGGGACCAUCCUCCAAGGCUAAAUACUCCUGACUGACCGAUAGUGAACCAGUACCGUGAGGGAAAGGCGAAAAGAACCCCGGCGAGGGGAGUGAAAAAGAACCUGAAACCGUGUACGUACAAGCAGUGGGAGCCCUGAUUUAUCAGGGUGACUGCGUACCUUUUGUAUAAUGGGUCAGCGACUUAUAUUCUGUAGCAAGGUUAACCGAAUAGGGGAGCCGGAGGGAAACCGAGUCUUAACUGGGCGUUAAGUUGCAGGGUAUAGACCCGAAACCCGGUGAUCUAGCCAUGGGCAGGUUGAAGGUUGGGUAACACUAACUGGAGGACCGAACCGACUAAUGUUGAAAAAUUAGCGGAUGACUUGUGGCUGGGGGUGAAAGGCCAAUCAAACCGGGAGAUAGCUGGUUCUCCCCGAAAGCUAUUUAGGUAGCGCCUCGUGAAUUCAUCUCCGGGGGUAGAGCACUGUUUCGGCAAGGGGGUCAUCCCGACUUACCAACCCGAUGCAAACUGCGAAUACCGGAGAAUGUUAUCACGGGAGACACACGGCGGGUGCUAACGUCCGUCGUGAAGAGGGAAACAACCCAGACCGCCAGCUAAGGUCCCAAAGUCAUGGUUAAGUGGGAAACGAUGUGGGAAGGCCCAGACAGCCAGGAUGUUGGCUUAGAAGCAGCCAUCAUUUAAAGAAAGCGUAAUAGCUCACUGGUCGAGUCGGCCCGCGCGGAAGAUGUAACGGGGCUAAACCAUGCACCGAAGCUGCGGCAGCGACACUGUGUGUUGUUGGGUAGGGGAGCGUUCUGUAAGCCUGUGAAGGUGUGCUGUGAGGCAUGCUGGAGGUAUCAGAAGUGCGAAUGCUGACAUAAGUAACGAUAAAGCGGGUGAAAAGCCCGCUCGCCGGAAGACCAAGGGUUCCUGUCCAACGUUAAUCGGGGCAGGGUGAGUCGACCCCUAAGGCGAGGCCGAAAGGCGUAGUCGAUGGGAAACAGGUUAAUAUUCCUGUACUUGGUGUUACUGCGAAGGGGGGACGGAGAAGGCUAUGUUGGCCGGGCGACGGUUGUCCCGGUUUAAGCGUGUAGGCUGGUUUUCCAGGCAAAUCCGGAGAAUCAAGGCUGAGGCGUGAUGACGAGGCACUACGGUGCUGAAGCAACAAAUGCCCUGCUUCCAGGAAAAGCCUCUAAGCAUCAGGUAACAUCAAAUCGUACCCCAAACCGACACAGGUGGUCAGGUAGAGAAUACCAAGGCGCUUGAGAGAACUCGGGUGAAGGAACUAGGCAAAAUGGUGCCGUAACUUCGGGAGAAGGCACGCUGAUAUGUAGGUGAAGCGACUUGCUCGUGGAGCUGAAAUCAGUCGAAGAUACCAGCUGGCUGCAACUGUUUAUUAAAAACACAGCACUGUGCAAACACGAAAGUGGACGUAUACGGUGUGACGCCUGCCCGGUGCCGGAAGGUUAAUUGAUGGGGUCAGCGCAAGCGAAGCUCUUGAUCGAAGCCCCGGUAAACGGCGGCCGUAACUAUAACGGUCCUAAGGUAGCGAAAUUCCUUGUCGGGUAAGUUCCGACCUGCACGAAUGGCGUAAUGAUGGCCAGGCUGUCUCCACCCGAGACUCAGUGAAAUUGAACUCGCUGUGAAGAUGCAGUGUACCCGCGGCAAGACGGAAAGACCCCGUGAACCUUUACUAUAGCUUGACACUGAACACUGGUCCUUGAUGUGUAGGAUAGGUGGGAGGCUUUGAAGUGUGGACGCCAGUCUGCAUGGAGCCGUCCUUGAAAUACCACCCUUUAAUGGCUGGUGUUCUAACGUUGGCCCCUUACCGGGGUUGCGGACAGUGUCUGGUGGGUAGUUUGACUGGGGCGGUCUCCUCCUAAAGAGUAACGGAGGAGCACGAAGGUUGGCUAAUCCUGGUCGGACAUCAGGAGGUUAGUGCAAUGGCAUAAGCCAGCUUAACUGCGAGCGUGACGGCGCGAGCAGGUGCGAAAGCAGGUCAUAGUGAUCCGGUGGUUCUGAAUGGAAGGGCCAUCGCUCAACGGAUAAAAGGUACUCCGGGGAUAACAGGCUGAUACCGCCCAAGAGUUCAUAUCGACGGCGGUGUUUGGCACCUCGAUGUCGGCUCAUCACAUCCUGGGGCUGAAGUAGGUCCCAAGGGUAUGGCUGUUCGCCAUUUAAAGUGGUACGCGAGCUGGGUUUAGAACGUCGUGAGACAGUUCGGUCCCUAUCUGCCGUGGGCGCUGGAGAACUGAGGGGGGCUGCUCCUAGUACGAGAGGACCGGAGUGGACGCAUCACUGGUGUUCGGGUUGUCAUGCCAAUGGCACUGCCCGGUAGCUAAAUGCGGAAGAGAUAAGUGCUGAAAGCAUCUAAGCACGAAACUUGCCCCGAGAUGAGUUCUCCCUGAGACCUGGAGUCUCCUGAAGGAACGUUGAAGACGACGACGUUGAUAGGCCGGGUGUGUAAGCGCAGCGAUGCGUUGAGCUAACCGGUACUAAUGAACCGUGAGGCUUAACCUUACAAC